CCAUAGUAUAUGUUAUUCGCAUGUUUGACAUAUUAAAGUUCCAACGGUAAAAGAUGAGCAUGCGUCCCUUUAGUUAGUUGGUAAGGUAACGGCUUACCAAGACGAUGAUGGGUAGGGGUCCUGAGAGGGAGAUCCCCCACACUGGUACUGAGACACGGACCAGACUCCUACGGGAGGCAGCAGUGAGGAAUAUUGGACAAUGGGCGCAAGCCUGAUCCAGCCAUGCCGCGUGCAGGAAGACGGUCCUAUGGAUUGUAAACUGCUUUUGUACGGGAAGAAACACUCCUACGUGUAGGAGCUUGACGGUACCGUAAGAAUAAGGAUCGGCUAACUCCGUGCCAGCAGCCGCGGUAAUACGGAGGAUCCAAGCGUUAUCCGGAAUCAUUGGGUUUAAAGGGUCCGUAGGCGGUUUAGUAAGUCAGUGGUGAAAGCCCAUCGCUCAACGAUGGAACGGCCGUUGAUACUGCUAGACUUGAAUUACUAGGAAGUAACUAGAAUAUGUAGUGUAGCGGUGAAAUGCUUAGAUAUUACAUGGAAUACCAAUUGCGAAGGCAGGUUACUACUAGUGGAUUGACGCUGAUGGACGAAAGCGUGGGGAGCGAACAGGAUUAGAUACCCUGGUAGUCCACGCCGUAAACGAUGGAUACUAGCUGUUGGGGGCAACUUCAGUGGCUAAGCGAAAG
RNAcentral lists this ribosomal RNA (683 nucleotides) under uncultured Bacteroidota bacterium. RNAcentral's name for it is "bacterial SSU rRNA". It matches the Rfam family "Bacterial small subunit ribosomal RNA", at positions 171 to 857 of the family's 1533-position model. The record is from RNAcentral. Lineage: Bacteria; Pseudomonadati; Bacteroidota.